Molecule: long non-coding RNA, 4416 nt
Filed under: Sus scrofa (pig)
Lineage: Eukaryota; Metazoa; Chordata; Mammalia; Artiodactyla; Suidae
Description: lncRNA (ENSSSCG00005037996.1)
Source: RNAcentral
UCUCUCUUCUUCUUGGUGAGUUUGGCCAGAAGUUUGUCAACUUUAUUUACCCUUCCAAAGAACCAGUUCUUGGUUUUAGUGAUUUUUUUCUUUUGUUUUUUGAAUAUCUAUUUUAUUGAUUUCCUCUCUGAUUUUUAUGAUUUCCUUCCUUCUGCUGACUUUAGGUUUUGUUUGUUUUUCUUUUUCUAAUUCAUUUAGGUGGUAAGUCAAGUUGUUGAUUUGAGACUUUUCUUCUUUUCUGAGAAGACCUGUAUAGCUAUGAAGUUCCCUCUCAUCACUGCUUUUGCAGCAUCCCAUAGAUUUCGAAUGGCUGUGUUUUCUAAAGCAGUUUCUUAAAAUAAAUCUCUCCUUCCCUCUCCCCAACUCCCUCUCCUACCUUCUCCAUCCUGUAUGUAUCUCUUAAUAGUUCUUUUUCUCUGGAGAACCAUGACUAAUACAGUCCUCCUAAAAGUUAAAUUGCUAGGUCAUAUGGAGAUAAGCACCUGUUUAGUUGCUUCCUUAGGCAGCAUCAUCACACAGAAGGGCUACCCUCUGUGAUAAGACUCCAAAGUCAGGUUGACCUUCAGUGAGUGCUGCUGCUCUUAUAUCAGACCCAGCCAACAAGAUCAGUGCAAACUACGCCCACACUGGUUUCUUCCCAACCUAAUUUCUUUGCUUCCAUUAAACUUAACCCAUCCCUCUGUGAUCUGAUCCAGUCCCCUCAUUUCUUUCUCAAGCCACUGUUCCACCAGUAUAGGAGUUUCCCAAAGAACAUGGUUAUGAUUCACCUUAGGAAAGUAAAAUACAUUAUGCAGAAUAUGUUUAGGUUUAGAUUUUCAGUGUGUUUUGACUUAGAAUAUAUAGUGAAUUAGAAAUAAUUCUAACUAGAAAUAAUUCUAAUAGUUCUACUUUCAGGUACUAACUAGGCAACAUUUCCCAAAGCCAAGUAAAGCAAAUGCACUAAUAAUGAUCAAGGCCAUGCAUCUCUGAGUAGAAUUUUUGAGGAAAUAAGCCAGGGGAUGAAAGAGUGAGAAGUGGGUUCCUUCUAACGGGCAGGAAUAGGCCUGAGCACUACUCACCAACAAUCAGUCAACUAGGUGUGGUGUCCACCAAUAGCCAAAGACCCACCCACAGUUCCAUCCAACCAGUACAGGAACAUACAGUUACUAUCUCAUCUCUCUCUGUCCCUUCAUACACAUGUACCUCAGAGAACAGUAUCCAACAUCUACCUCUGCUCCCCAUUCCCAUUCAUUCUUCUCAGAAAUUUUUAUGGAAAUAAUAUAUGGUAUAUAGUUGCUAAAAUCUUCUUUCCAAAUACAUAGGUAAAGAAGUAAAAAUUCCCCCUCAUUUCUUCUCUCUUAAUUCUAUCCCCUUCUCCAAAGUUAUAAGCAUUCGUUAGCAGUUUGGCAUAUAUCCUUUUCAGAUCUUAGUCUGUAUCUUAACUCCAUUAAUAUAUUCCAUUAGUGUUCUUUUUGUGCUUUUUUAUAAGUAGGGUAAUAUUUUUAGUAUUAUUCCAAUCAUUUCCUUUUUUCUCUUGUCAAAAUGGAGACCGUUCCUUUCUAGUGCAUGCACAUCACUUACAAUGUGCCAGGCAAUGGGGUUUAUAUUUCUCAAUUGGACUCCUGCAGUAAUUUCCUAACUGUUCUCCCUACUCUCAGCCUUAUACCCUUCAAUCCAUUCCACAUACCUUCCUGAGGGAUUUUACAAAAGCCCAAAUCUCUUACAUUGAUACUCUUAUUCCCCUGAUUAAAAUUUUUCCUUGACUCUCCACUGCCUUGUUUAGUAUGGUUUACAAGUCCCACCAGAAUCCUGUGUGGCUGCGCUUACUUCUUACCAUAACCCUACACCCCAGCCAUGCCAAACCAUUUGCAGUUCCCAAAGCACACCAAACCUGCUGCUGCUUCCUUGACCUUCAUGCCCUUAUUUGCAUUCCAAGAAAAAUUAGUUGAGUUGCAAAACAUACAUAUAGAUAAUCAAAUGAAUUCUCCUGCUGUAUGAGGAUAUUAGCUACACUGCUGUUAAAAUUUGUGUACAGAGUCUAGCAAAAAUUAGAAUAUUGUUUAGAAUAAGAACCUAAAGCAUCGGAGUUCCCGUCGUGGCGCAGUGGUUAACGAAUCCGACUAGGAGCCAUGAGGUUGCAGGUUCGGUCCCUGCCCUUACUCAGUGGGUUGACGAUCCGGCGUUGCCAUGAGCUGUGGUGAAGGUUGCAGACGCGGCUCGGAUCCUGCGUUGCUGUGGCUCUGGCGUAGGCCGGUGGCUACAGCUCCGAUUAGACCCCUAGCCUGGGAACCUCCAUAUGCCGCAGGAGCGGCCCAAGAAAUAGCAACAACAACAACAACAACAACAAAAAGACAAAAAAAAAAAAAAGAACCUAAAGCUUCACUUUUGGUGGUAAUUAAGAUAACAGAGUCAGCUGUCCAGCAAACCAAUUUAGUUGCCUCCCAACAUCCACAGCAGUCACUCCUGUUGAAGCCUUUCCUGAUUUUCCUGUUAGAAUCAGCUGUCCUUGAUAUGACCCCACUCUUCCCCCAGGACACAACAUAAGCAAAACAGCCACAACAUUUCAGUGCCUUUAUUGAUUCACAUCUCUUCCUGUCCUGCCAGACCACAUACAUCUUAAGGGGCAAGCACCUAUCUUUUUUUUUUUAAUUAUAGUAUUGUAGAAUUAUAAAAUUGUGGUAGUUUCAGGUGUUAUGUGCAUAUAUUAUUUGACUUUUAAUAUCCAGUACCCAAUGCUAUAUAUGAUACCAUAGUAGGCAUUUUGUGGUUAAAAUAACCAAUCAGUAAGUACGUUGUUUUUAUUAAGGUACGACUUAUCUGUUCCCAAAUAUUUAAGAUGAGUCACAAUGAUAUUAACAAUAUACCAGAAAGAUAAAGACAAAUACCAUAUGAUAUCACUUAUAACUGGAAUCUAAUAUCCAGCACAAAUGAACAUCUCCUCAGAAAAGAAAAUCAUGGACUUGGAGAAAAGACUUGUGGCUGCCUGAUGGGAGGGGGAGGAAGGGGGAGGGAUGGGGAGCUUGGGCUUAUCAGACACAACUUAGAAUAGAUUUACAAGGAGAUCCUGCUGAGUAGCAUUGAGAACUAGGUCUAGAUACUCAUGUUGCAACAGAACAAAGGGUGGGGGGAAAAAUGUAAUUGUAAUGUAUACACGUAAGGAUAACUUGAUCCCCUUGCUGUACAGUGGGGGGAAAAAAAUAAAGAAACCAUGUAUUUUGCUUUCCACAAGCCAGUAGCAAUAACAAGUUUCCCAGAGUCCACAGGUUAAAACAAACUGGCUGCUAAGGAGAAGCAUAACUAGUCCUGACAUGGUUACCAGAGAGAAAUGUCUCUCAAAAGACUUCAAAGUGGACACCAUAUAAUAAAAUAAACAACGACCUUAAAUAUUUCUUAGAAUUAACAGAGAUAUGAGUUUCCAGAGAUAAAUCACUGACAUAAACCACAGGCUCAUUCACACCAACACAUGCAAGUUGGUUCUCUCACUGUCCUCACUGUCAGUCAGGUUAAUGAGAAGAUAUACUUUAGUUAUUAGUGGUAGUGACUUUAACAUACUUUGGACCAUGGACAUUUCCUCUCCUCAGAAAAACACCCCAACAUAAUAUUUUGCAUCAAUUUUCAAGGGAUUAUGGAAACCUGAAGCUUGUCUGGACCAUCCAGGUUAAAAUCCUCAACCUGGAAGAAAGAUAUACUCUACAUCCUUGAGUCAGGCUUCCCACAUCAGGAGGUGAUGGCUUGGGCAAGGCCAAGCUCUCCACGAUUCUACAACAUAAAAGCUCUACAGUUCUACAUCAUUGAGCAUGGCCAAAAAUAAUUUAAGUCUGGAAAAUAUUCAACAUAAGUGUAGCCAAACAGAUAUCCCAAAUGCUUUUUCUCCUAAUCUCGUUAAAACACUCAAAGACUAUCUACUUUUUGAGGAAUGUAACUUCCUCCAAUGCCUUCCAAGAAAAAUUCGUUGAGCUGCAAAACAUACAUGUAAAUUACUAAAUGAAUAAUUCACUUGCUAUAGGGGGAUUUUAGCUACCUUGCUGUUUGAAGUUGGGUACAGGGUCUAGCAAAAAUUAUAACUUUGAAUUAGAAUAAGAAUCUAAAGCUUCACUGUUGGGUGGCUAAUUAGCCAAGAGUUAGCUGUCUAUUAAAAAUACUUUUAGAUCAUGAUAAUUAAUACACAUCACUGAUUUUAGUUAUCAUCAGUGUUCUCCCUUUUAGAGAGAGAGCAUACUUCCAGUUCAUGAAAUGUGAUACUGUUCCUUGGGUCUUGGCCUAGGAAGCCCAAAACUGGAAAAACUCUAGAUUCUCUUCUGAAGUAAAUGUACUUCUUUUAUAGAAGUUAUGAGAAAUUUGGUCAGACAUUCCACUGAAAUCAACAAAUCAGCCUAUGUAUGUUUCAACCCUUCCAUUAUAUAUUACUCUAUUUAUAUAUCACCCUCAUUCCAUUAC